CCUACGGGUGGCUGCAGUGAGGAAUAUUGGUCAAUGGCCGGAAGGCUGAACCAGCCAAGCCGCGUGAAGGACGAAGGUGCCAAGCAUUGUAAACUUCUUUUGUCAAGGGACAAAAUCAGGCUCGAGAGCCUGACCGAGGGUACUUGAAGAAAAAGCAUCGGCUAACUCCGUGCCAGCAGCCGCGGUAAUACGGAGGAUGCGGGCGUUUUCCGGAUUUAUUGGGUGUAAAGGGUGCGUAGGCGGGAUUUUAAAUCAGCUGGUAAAGCCCGGGGCAGAACCCCCGGCGAGCAGUUGACACGGGGUGUCUUGAGAGGUCGAGAGGCAUGCGGAAUGCGCGGUGUAGCGGUGAAAUGCUUAGAUAUUGCGAAGAACUCCGAUUGCGAAGGCAGAAUACCGGCGGCGAUCUGACGCUGAGGCACGAAAGCGUGGGUAUCGAACAGGAUUAGAUACCCGAGUAGUC
RNAcentral lists this ribosomal RNA (460 nucleotides) under uncultured bacterium. RNAcentral describes it as "partial 16S ribosomal RNA". It matches the Rfam family "Bacterial small subunit ribosomal RNA", at positions 338 to 795 of the family's 1533-position model. The record is from RNAcentral.